This is a long non-coding RNA of Schistocerca gregaria, 932 nucleotides long. RefSeq lists it as uncharacterized. The transcript has 3 exons. NCBI's taxonomy places the organism in Eukaryota, Metazoa, Arthropoda, Insecta, Orthoptera, Acrididae. The record is from RefSeq and is a predicted model, not a curated record.
CUCGCCUCGAAAAAUUUGCGGUCAUUCGAUUCGCUUGCUUAGGUACAUGGUGCAUCUUUUUUUGGAUCCUGAUCUGAGAAAGUACACACAAUUUUUUUUACGAUUCAAAAUUGGUGAAUACGAUACUUUUAAAUUCUUUUUUUCUGUCCUAUAUCUUAAAUUAGCCAGCUGCGCUUAUAUAGGGGUUUACACUGGCCUCAAGCCUUUUCAGGGCGAUGUCUAUUUUUUACACUGUUGUGGCACGCGGUGACGUGAUUCUGGCUGAAUAUUCUACCAAGCAAGGAAAUGAUAUCAAUUUUAUCAAGAAUUUACUCAGUAAUAUAGACAGCACGUCAAAUACAAAGAAAACCUAUUUUUACGAUAGUUUUUAUUUCAACUAUGAGGUUGAAGACGGGUUGAUUUUUAUGUGUAUUUCGGAUGUCGGCCCAAAGAAAAAUCUACCCUUUGUAUAUUUAUCUAUGGUGAAAAAGCGCUUUUUAGCGCAAUUUGGUGACAGAUGGAGAGAUGCGAUUAGUUACUAUGCACAGACUGAGUUCAGUCGAGUGUUGAGACAAUUGAGUGAACACCAUAAUGAAAGUGGAAGCGUAGACCGGAUAUCCAGGUUACAAGAUUCAAUUGCAGAAGUUAAGGAAAUUAUGAUUGAUAACAUUGAUAAAGCGUUAACACGUGGCGCAGCAAUUGAAGACACGCUUCGCAAAACCGACGAAGUUGCUUCCAAUUCCAUUGAUUUCAGGAGAAGGACAACCAAUAUGAAAAACACAAUGAGAUGGAGAUAUGUUAAAUCAAUCAUUUGCAUAGCAGUGGCAAUGAUACUGUUAAUAUAUAUUAUCACUGCAAUUGCAUGUCAAGGACCUACAUUUAAAGGCUGUCGCAAAGAAUGAGAUCUCUCUGUUUUUCACAAUGAACGAAACAGAAAAAAAAAGUUAAGCGAA